This is a long non-coding RNA of Sitodiplosis mosellana (orange wheat blossom midge), 393 nucleotides long. RefSeq lists it as uncharacterized. The record is from RefSeq and is a predicted model, not a curated record. Lineage: Eukaryota; Metazoa; Arthropoda; Insecta; Diptera; Cecidomyiidae. The transcript is spliced from 4 exons.
AGUGAAAUCUGUCAUCAGUCAGUAUGCAUGUGUCGCGAGUUUUGUUUACAAAGUUACAAACAACGAAACAAUCAAACAAUGAUCAAAUACCGGCAAGCAGGUAAAAUGUAUUCACAGUGUAAUAUAUGCGGACGCAAAAUAAAAUCAAAAGAAGCGAAUCUGCGUAGACACAAACUUCUCCACGGACCUACAGUUUUGAGGAUGAAAUGUCUCAUUUGUACGCAAACAUUUUCUACUGAAAAUAAUUUUUUCACACAUUGCCAACGAUUGCAUUCGGACGAGUACCUAUCAGUUGGUAUUUGGGUGAAAGAAAAAGCGAAAGAGCUUCGUCCAGUAUAUGGGUCAAAUUCUUACAAUAUGUCGUCGCAAAAUGAGCCAAAAACGAACGCAGCA